GCGGCAACAGCUCAAAUUUGAAAUCUGGCCCUCGGGUCCGAGUUGUAAUUUGUAGAGGAUGCUUUUGGUGCGGUGCCUUCCGAGUUCCCUGGAACGGGACGCCAUAGAGGGUGAGAGCCCCGUCUGGUUGGACACCAAGCCUCUGUAAAGCUCCUUCGACGAGUCGAGUAGUUUGGGAAUGCUGCUCUAAAUGGGAGGUAUAUGUCUUCUAAAGCUAAAUACCGGCCAGAGACCGAUAGCGCACAAGUAGAGUGAUCGAAAGAUGAAAAGCACUUUGAAAAGAGGGUUAAAUAGUACGUGAAAUUGUUGAAAGGGAAGCGCUUGUGACCAGACUUGAGCCCGGUUAAUCAUCCAGCCUUCUGGCUGGUGCACUUGGCCGGCUCAGGCCAGCAUCAGUUCGGCGCGGGGGAUAAAGGCUUCGGGAAUGUGGCUCCUCCGGGAGUGUUAUAGCCCGUUGUGUAAUACCCUGUACUGGACUGAGGUUCGCGCAUCUGCAAGGAUGCUGGCGUAAUGGUCAUCAGCGACCCGUCUUGAAACACGGACCAAGGAGUCGUCUUCGUAUGCGAGUGUUCGGGUGUCAAACCCCUACGCGUAAUGAAAGUGAACGCAGGUGAGAGCUUCGGCGCAUCAUCGACCGAUCCUGAUGUUCUCGGAUGGAUUUGAGUAAGAGCAUACGGGGCCGGACCCGAAAGAAGGUGAACUAUGCCUGUAUAGGGUGAAGCCAGAGGAAACUCUGGUGGAGGCUCGCAGCGGUUCUGACGUGCAAAUCGAUCGUCAAAUAUGGGCAU
This 788-nucleotide ribosomal RNA is filed under the name Cosmospora sp. IMI 362240. Its description in RNAcentral is "eukaryotic LSU rRNA". It matches the Rfam family "Eukaryotic large subunit ribosomal RNA", at positions 98 to 918 of the family's 3401-position model. Lineage: Eukaryota; Fungi; Ascomycota; Sordariomycetes; Hypocreales; Nectriaceae. The record is from RNAcentral.